GACGAACGCUGGCGGCGUGCUUAACACAUGCAAGUCGAACGGGCCUGUCUUCUUUUUUGGGGGGUGGGUUGAGUGGCGAACGGGUGAGUAUCACGUGAGUAACCUGCCCUUCGGUCCUGGAUAACCGCUUGAAAGGGCGGCUAAUACGGGGUGGUCCGGUUGGUCCGCAUGGGCUGGUCGGGAUAGAUUCACUGUUUUUGGUGUUUCGGCGGGGGAUGGGCUCGCGGCCUAUCAGCUUGUUGGUGGGGUGAUGGCCUACCAAGGCGGUGACGGGUAGCCGGCCUGGGAGGGUGGGCGGCCACACUGGGACUGAGAUACGGCCCAGACUCCUGCGGGAGGCAGCAGUGGGGGGUAUUGCACAAUGGGCGGAAGCCUGAUGCAGCGACGUCGCGUGAGGGAGGGAGGCCUUCGGGUUGUGAACCUCUGUUUCCGGUGGUGAAGGCCCUGUCCGUGUGGUGGGGUUGACGGUAGCCGGGGAUGAAGCGCCGGCUAACUACGUG
RNAcentral lists this ribosomal RNA (500 nucleotides) under uncultured bacterium. Its description in RNAcentral is "partial 16S ribosomal RNA". It matches the Rfam family "Bacterial small subunit ribosomal RNA", at positions 28 to 507 of the family's 1533-position model. The record is from RNAcentral.